UGAGACAUCCAGCUUUGUGGACUGAACAA
This 29-nucleotide non-coding RNA is filed under the name Mus musculus (house mouse). The record is from RNAcentral. Lineage: Eukaryota; Metazoa; Chordata; Mammalia; Rodentia; Muridae.